GAUAACUGGCUUGUGGCAGCCAAGCGUUCUUAGCGACGUUGCUUUUGAAUUCGCCAAUUUUUGUUCACCCACCAACAGGGAACAUGAGCUAGGUUUAGACCGUCGUGAGACAGGUU
This 116-nucleotide non-coding RNA is filed under the name Lottia gigantea (owl limpet). Its description in RNAcentral is "eukaryotic large subunit ribosomal RNA". It matches the Rfam family "Eukaryotic large subunit ribosomal RNA", at positions 2825 to 2984 of the family's 3401-position model. Lineage: Eukaryota; Metazoa; Mollusca; Gastropoda; Lottiidae. The record is from Rfam by way of RNAcentral.